This 425-nucleotide ribosomal RNA is filed under the name uncultured bacterium. RNAcentral's name for it is "bacterial SSU rRNA". It matches the Rfam family "Bacterial small subunit ribosomal RNA", at positions 355 to 772 of the family's 1533-position model. The record is from RNAcentral.
UGGGGAAUUUUGGACAAUGGGCGCAAGCCUGAUCCAGCAAUGCCGCGUGAGUGAAGAAGGCCCUUGGGUUGUAAAGCUCUUUCGGUCGGGAAGAAGAAGAGGCGGCUAAUACCUGCCUUGCCAGACGGUACCGACAUAAGAAGCACCGGCUAACUACGUGCCAGCAGCCGCGGUAAUACGUAGGGUGCAAGCGUUAAUCGGAAUAACUGGGCGUAAAGGGUGUGUAGGCGGUUUUUUAAGUCUGAUGUGAAAUCCCCGGGCUCAACCUGGGAACUGCGUUGGAAACUGGAAGACUAGAGUACGUAAGAGGGGGGUGGAAUUCCACGUGUAGCAGUGAAAUGCGUAGAGAUGUGGAGGAACACCGAUGGCGAAGGCAGCCCCCUGGGACGAUACUGACGCUGAGGCACGAAAGCGUGGGGAGCAAA